Molecule: long non-coding RNA, 387 nt
Organism: Cyanistes caeruleus (blue tit)
Lineage: Eukaryota; Metazoa; Chordata; Aves; Passeriformes; Paridae
Source: Ensembl
CAAUUCUCCUACCAAGGAGCUCCAGGGCGUAGUUGUGACAAUUAACAUGGCAGAAAUGGAGCCAGGGAAGGGAGGGACUUCAGCAAAAACAUCUGCUGGGAAAAUUAAUGAAAUGAAUCAGAGAUUUAGUGAGCCCAGCUCAGACUUGUCUCUACCUCCAUGUCAGUAUUCCCUGGAGCCUGGAGUCUUUGCUUUACAUGGAUGAGCUGCUUGUUUCAGAGACUGCUACCUCAGGUCAAGACUGGGAGACUGCUGGAGAGAGCAAAGCAGCCUUUUAGAAUUUGCUGAAAACCAGAAAACCACUGAGCUGAUUGAAAUCAAAAGGAGAAGCAAGGACACAGUGUCUUCUCUUUCUUCCUCUGCUCUACCAAAUUGCUUUGAGCUGUC